Molecule: non-coding RNA, 281 nt
Organism: Pelobates cultripes (western spadefoot toad)
Lineage: Eukaryota; Metazoa; Chordata; Amphibia; Anura; Pelobatidae
Source: the annotation of a GenBank genome assembly
CAAGGUAGGAUCCAUGCCUGGUUUAUUUUAAUAAAUGUGAGCUUGGACAGGCGUCUGCGCUUGUCUGUGAUAACCUUGUGCCGAUCGCACAUCCCCGUGAUGGCGACAACGCAUUUGUAUGUCUGCCCUAUCAACUUUCAAUGCUAUUUUCUGUGCCUACCAUGGUGACCAUGGAUAACGGGGAAUCAGGGUUCGAUUUCAGGGAGGGAGAAUGAGAAACGGCUACCACAUGCAAGGAAAGCAGCAGGCGCGCAAAUUACCUACGCGGGGAGGUAGUGACG